RNAcentral lists this unclassified non-coding RNA (146 nucleotides) under uncultured Pseudeurotiaceae. Its description in RNAcentral is "sequence contains ITS2". Lineage: Eukaryota; Fungi; Ascomycota; Leotiomycetes; Thelebolales; Pseudeurotiaceae. The record is from RNAcentral.
CAACCCUCAAGCUCUGCUUGGUGUUGGGCCUCGCCGAUUCCGGCGGGCCUCAAAAUCAGUGGCGGUGCCAUCUGGCUUCAAGCGUAGUAAUUCUUCUCGCUUCAGGAGACCCAGGUGUGUGCUUGCCAGCAACCCCCCACUUCUAU